Molecule: long non-coding RNA, 1470 nt
Organism: Macaca mulatta (Rhesus monkey)
Lineage: Eukaryota; Metazoa; Chordata; Mammalia; Primates; Cercopithecidae
Source: RefSeq, a predicted model, not a curated record
CGUGCCACUGCACUCCAGCCUGGGUGACAGAGCAAGACUGUGUCUCAAAAAAAAAGAGAAAGAAAUGAAGAACAGCCCAGAGGUCUUGCAGUUCCAAAAUCAACGUGGAAUGUUCUACCCAGUCUGUGUUCCUGAAGACAGAUGGGAGGAGAAUGGCCAGGAUCAUGAUGGCCCUGUCUGUGGAGAGAGGGCCUGGAGAAAAAUGAGGGUGCGUCUGUACUGAGCAAAUCCCAACAGGACGGAGAAGCCUUUUGCCAGCGCUACGCUCCCAUGCAAAGCUGCAAGAGGAUACAAAAGCAAAGAGUUCCCUCUGGCGAGGCCUUGCAGGGCUCUGUGAGGCUGGCCAGGGCACAGGAGUGCCUCGCUGACUGGGAGAAAUUGGGAAAUAAAGUUCACAGAUAUAAGUGAAUUUUCUAAACACCUGUGAAAGUGCUGAGACUUAUUUUAUUUUCUGAAAAAAUAUUUGAACACAACAGUUCACACUGAUAACUGAAUAAUCAUCAGUUAAUGGUAACCCAGGACUCUCUGUUUUAGUCCAACUGGAAGAAAAGGCCAUGAAGGAGAAUAGAAGUGAUUUUUUCAAGGAAAAAGGGCGACUUUUCCCUUGUGUGGAAAGUUUUCCUCAGCCAGCAAGUCAGAGGAAAGGAGACACAGGUGUGGAGCCUGGCUCCAUCAGGAACUGUGUUCCUCCAGCUGAAAGACGCUGAAGUGCAAGGGCAGCCACACAGCAUGGGGAAGAGCAAUGUUGAGGUGGAGAGAGAAGCAGAUGAGCCCUGAGGACUUACCCCAAUGUCCCACACUCUACCCAUCAAAACGAAGCAACAUAUUUUAAAAUUUUGGGCAACAUCUCAGAACCACCCACUAACAACCGUACACCCUGACAGAACCUUCUAAGCCGUUACGGAAGGGACAGAGGGAGACGCUGCCUCUGGUCAUUAUUCUGAGCGCUGUAUUAUGAACAUGAUGACAGAAUGCACUCGACCUGCUUUAGAAGUCUGAUCUUUGUAUGGCAGUAUUUCUGAACACUUAGCCAAGGAACCCUCAAUUCUAAGAACAGCACCAGCUUUCCUGAGAACGCUUGCUCAAAGGCAUAUUUGUUUAAGGAAUAUUUUUUAUACAGUGAGGCCAAGCUGCCAUAAAAAUGACCGAAACAACAAAUCCUCAGGUAUAUUACACACUAGGCAGGCUUCAAGGCCAACCCAGGCCCAAUAGGGGUCUGAAAAACACAAGCAAAAUCAAUCCACUCUGGGCAUCGCUCCUUUGGACAUCAGAGUGUGUCCACAUGUAGCGACCACUGGGUGGCCACUGUCUGUCCUCUGCCUUGGCACUCGGUCAAUAUUUAACAAAUAUUUAUUGAAUGAAUGUCUGCACCCUGUAGGAAGAAAUCUGAAUUGUAUUAAUCUUACUCUGUAUAAUAUGACAGACUUUAAGAAAUAAUAAAAUAAAGCAAAGCUUUUAAAAGCUGAUAAA